ACGGAAGGCAGCAGUGAGGAAUAUUGGUCAAUGGUCGGAAGACUGAACCAGCCAAGUCGCGUGCAGGAAGACGGUCCUAUGGAUUGUAAACUUCUUUUGUAGAUGGAUAAACGACAUUACGUGUAAUGUUUUGAAGGUAAUCUACGAAUAAGCAUCGGCUAACUCCGUGCCAGCAGCCGCGGUAAUACGGAGGAUGCGAGCGUUGUCCGGAGUUAUUGGGUUUAAAGGGUGCGCAGGCGGGCGAUUAAGUCAGCGGUGAAAUCUCGGAGCUCAACUCUGAAACUGCCGUUGAUACUGGUUGUCUUGAGUCAUGUCGAGGAUGGCGGAAUGCAGCGUGUAGCGGUGAAAUGCUUAGAUAGGCUGCAGAACUACGAUUGCGAAGGCAGCUGUCCAGAGAUGAACUGACGCUCAGGCACGAAAGCAUGGGUAUCAAACAGGAUUAGAUACCCUGGUA
Molecule: ribosomal RNA, 454 nt
Filed under: uncultured Porphyromonas sp.
Lineage: Bacteria; Pseudomonadati; Bacteroidota; Bacteroidia; Bacteroidales; Porphyromonadaceae
Description: partial 16S ribosomal RNA
Rfam family: Bacterial small subunit ribosomal RNA
Source: RNAcentral